Molecule: ribosomal RNA, 254 nt
Filed under: uncultured bacterium
Lineage: Bacteria
Description: partial 16S ribosomal RNA
Rfam family: Bacterial small subunit ribosomal RNA
Source: RNAcentral
GACAGAGGUGCCGAGCGUUAGGCGGAAUCACUGGGCUUAAAGCGUGUGUAGGCGGGUCGUUAAGUGUCUUGUGAAAUCCCACCGCUCAACGGUGGAACUGCUGGGCAUACUGGCGAUCUUGAGCCACCUAGGGGCGAGCGGAACAAGCGGUGGAGCGGUGAAAUGCGUAGAUAUCAUUUGGAACGCCAAUGGUGAAAACAGGUAACUGGGAGUGUGCUGACGCUGAGACACGAAAGCCAGGGGAGCGAACGGGG